Planococcus citri (citrus mealybug) is the source of this 346-nucleotide long non-coding RNA. RefSeq lists it as uncharacterized. The record is from RefSeq and is a predicted model, not a curated record. Lineage: Eukaryota; Metazoa; Arthropoda; Insecta; Hemiptera; Pseudococcidae. The transcript has 2 exons.
CUUAGUUUUAAAACAAUAGGCCACGCAUAAAUGAGUACGUGUACAUGUGUACUUGUGUGAAUUUUACUGUAUAUGUGUGCAUUAAAGUAACUCUAACGUAGGUUGUAAUGAAGGCCAAGAAGAUGAACAUUUGAAAAUAUCAUUUGAAGAGUAAUUUUUGCGAUAGCAGUAGCAUAUUCAUGGACAAAAGAUUACUCAUCGCUCUGUAUCCAUUUUGAAAUUCCCUACUUCAAGACGUGGUACCUUACCUAUAUCUACUUAUAAUAUGUACUUACUUACAGGAUACUAAUAAAUACCCGGUACAUCUUUUAGGAAUACGUACGACAAAUUGUACGUAUUUUGAGAA